UACGGAGGGUGCGAGCGUUAAUCGGAAUUACUGGGCGUAAAGCGCGCGUAGGUGGUCAAGCAAGUCGGAUGUGAAAGCCCCGGGCUCAACCUGGGAAUGGCAUUCGAUACUACUUGGCUAGAGUCUGGUAGAGGAAAGCGGAAUUCCCGGUGUAGCGGUGAAAUGCGUAGAUAUCGGGAAGAACACCAGUGGCGAAGGCGGCUUUCUGGACUAAGACUGACACUGAGGCGCGAAAGCGUGGGUAGCAAACAGG
This 253-nucleotide ribosomal RNA is filed under the name uncultured bacterium. RNAcentral describes it as "partial 16S ribosomal RNA". It matches the Rfam family "Bacterial small subunit ribosomal RNA", at positions 524 to 776 of the family's 1533-position model. The record is from RNAcentral.